UCUCUCGCAACCAUCUCUGUCUUUUCGUCUCGUUUUCUCGCUCUCUCUCUUCAUCUGUAGAAAAAAUUCAAUAGGGUUUUGUUUUGGUUAGUUGAUUUUGCAUAGAAUAGAAGAAACAAGGGUUGGAGGAGGCUGUGAUGUUGAUAAACUACCUAUUUUCUGAGGGAAGAUAUUCCCUUAUGAUUACAAAAUUUACCAAUGGAUCCUUCUGAGCCUUCACUCUCUUCUUUCUUUUCUUUUCUUUAUUUUAUUUUUUCUUCGUUUUUAUUUUCUGUUUGAGGAGAACCAUUGACGUGAUGAUAUGUUUUUCGGAAUUUAUAGUGUCGACUUAAAAUAACAGACUACAAUUAUCUGAUCAAUGGUUUCUCUAUUUUUUUUCUUUCUCCCUGUGUCUUUACUUUUGAAACCCAAUUAUUAUUUUUCAUAUCAGCCUAAUUGUUUGCGUUUGAACUUUGGAUUGGAGUAGCAUUAGG
Molecule: long non-coding RNA, 473 nt
Filed under: Prunus dulcis (almond)
Lineage: Eukaryota; Viridiplantae; Streptophyta; Magnoliopsida; Rosales; Rosaceae
Source: RNAcentral